GACAGAGGGUGCAAACGUUGCUCGGAAUUACUGGGCGUAAAGCGCGUGUAGGCGGAUCGGUAAGUGGGAUGUGAAAUCCCAGGGCUCAACCCUGGAACUGCAUUCCAAACUGCCGGUCUUGAGUGUCGGAGAGGAUGGCGGAAUUCUGGGUGUAGAGGUGAAAUUCGUAGAUAUCCGGAGGAACACCAGUGGCGAAGGCGGCCAUCUGGACGACGACUGACGCUGAGACGCGAAAGCGUGGGGAGCAAACAGG
RNAcentral lists this ribosomal RNA (253 nucleotides) under uncultured bacterium. Its description in RNAcentral is "partial 16S ribosomal RNA". It matches the Rfam family "Bacterial small subunit ribosomal RNA", at positions 524 to 776 of the family's 1533-position model. The record is from RNAcentral.